This 1390-nucleotide long non-coding RNA is filed under the name Mus musculus (house mouse). Its description in RNAcentral is "long non-coding RNA chr14:21989744-21991134". The record is from RNAcentral. Lineage: Eukaryota; Metazoa; Chordata; Mammalia; Rodentia; Muridae.
GUAGAAAGUAGAAGGGGGUGAGAAGAGGACACACCCCCUUGCUCGGAGGGACUUGGGAGACUUUGAAUUUCCCCUCCCCCCACUUUUCCGCAGAGCUCUUCUUUUGUUGUCAAGUCCUUUUGAUAAAUGGUGGGGCUGGGAGAGCUGGGAGCCAGGAGCCGAUCUGCGCCCUGCGCAGGGGCGGGGGCCCAGCCUGGAGACCGGGUUCGGACCACCGCGCACCCUGAGCUGAACCGGGCACGCUCAGGGGACUUUUCCUUCUGUUUGCCAGCCUAUUUCUUUCCUACCAUCCCAGUCCCCCUUCCCUUCUGUUUCUGUCCACGCGGAUAACGAGAACUUUCUGGGGUGGGGGUGAGUUAUAUAAUUUUCUCGUAAGUAUUCUUUCACAGAGUUUUGAUUUUAUUCCUUGAUUCCUUAGGUUGGCAAAGUUAAUGGGAUGGUAACUCGAUUAAUGGUAAUUUGGAAAGAAGAGCGGCUGGGGCUGGUGUGUGUGUGUGUGUGUGUGUGUGUGUGUGUGUGUGUGUUAAGAACAUUGGCUGUUUGUGAUCCUCCUGCGACAAUUGAGAAAGGUAAAUUUGUGAGACUAUGGCAAGAUCACAGGCACCUUUGUGAAGGUGCCUGAAUGAUCUCUGGAGUAAGAAGUCCAGCUUACGUUUUGGCAGAAUGGCAACCCCAAACUCUGCCGGGUAAGGUCUCUGAAGCUGCUUGCAGCCUGCGGGGUGUUAGUGCCUGCCGGUGUCUCCCACUGUAUGGCUCUAAAGGUGUCACCCUCUGGUCAGCUCCUGUGGUCCUAGCAUAGGAAGCUAGGCCUUGGGCCACCUGCCAUAUUGGCCUCUUUCAUAGGCCUGGAGAGUGAGAGUUGACGCUGUGGACAGAACUGAGGAGAGCAGGAGCAAGCGCGGGCCUAGGGUGUCCUCUUCGCUCCGGGGGUUCAGUUUCUAGGCUCAGUUUGUCUCUUUUCCUCCAAUUCCAGUAGUUUUCUCAUUGCGCUGGGCAGUUCAAGGGAGGCCACCCCAGCUCUUCAAGACUGGUAGAAUCGUGGAAUGGCUCUCGUCCCACGUAGAUUACAUGCGCUCACCGGUGUGCGCCGCCGGGCUCCGUGAGCUCCGACUGCCGCGUUAAAACUCAACUCCGAAGGUCGGAGCGCACGGGGGCGCCUGGGGGUCUGCGUUCCCCGGGCUUUGGGGAGGCACCAGCAUCUGAGCCUGCGCACCUCUCAAGGGAGGCCAAAUCUCUGAAGGCCGAGUAAGCUGUGGAAGUUGGAGGGGGUGUGGGGGGAUAUAUUGUUAUUAAUUACUUCAGGCUAGGCCUAAUGCUUCCAACCCUCAGAGGUGGUUGGCAUGGACGUCCUGCGGAUUUUAUUUGCACACAAUGGACAUGAUUUGUUUUC